Pelobates cultripes (western spadefoot toad) is the source of this 227-nucleotide non-coding RNA. Lineage: Eukaryota; Metazoa; Chordata; Amphibia; Anura; Pelobatidae. The record is from the annotation of a GenBank genome assembly.
AAUGUACAGGUUUUAUGGGUUUUUGCAAACUUACAGGGGUCAAAUGUAGGGCUUUCCCCUUUUCCAUUUUUGAACAUUGAAAUUUGCCAGAUUGGUUUGCUGGCCCUAUGUUGUCUUUGACACCAUAUGGCAGCCCAGGAAUGAAAAUUAACCCCAUCAUGGCAUACCAAUUGUAAAAGUAGACAACCCACAGUAUUCAAAAUGGGGUAUGUCCAGUCUUUUUUUAG